RNAcentral lists this long non-coding RNA (1288 nucleotides) under Gossypium barbadense (sea-island cotton). RNAcentral's name for it is "long non-coding RNA (GBAR_LNC010071)". The record is from RNAcentral. Lineage: Eukaryota; Viridiplantae; Streptophyta; Magnoliopsida; Malvales; Malvaceae.
CCAUCUAGCCAACACACCUCUCUGUCCCCAGAUCACACCCCAAAAGAGCUGUUAAAGCUCAUCCAACCCAUCAAACCAGUUAGAACUUCGAAAGACCCAUUCAACCCUACACACCAUAUGUGUGGACUAAGCCACUCAGAUAUUAAUAGGCAGCAGAGCUGGCGUAUGUGUUGUACAGUGCAAUGCGGUAAUUCGCUGUACAGUCCUGUUGCAGUUAUACUGCCAGAUCAGAAUAUAGUACGCAGCAUAGUUGACGCACAUGCAGUACAAUGUGAUAAAUCACCGUAAGAAUAUGUUGCAGUGAAACUGCUAGAUCAGAUCAUAAUCAGACUCUCCUCACUUCGCAAUCCCACCCAAAACUUUAUGCAAGUGUAUGUAUGUAUACAUUAACACAGAACAUAAAGAGCACAUCCACAGUCAGUUAGACAGGAACAAAUAUGUACACAUACCCAGCUAAUCGGGUUUAGAGUCAGACAUCUCACACAACAAUUACUAAUAUCACAUAAGCCACAACAAAUAAAACUCUUAAUUACCCUUCCUAAGGCUUAGCCAAGGGUUGAAGCACACGAACAUAUUAUCAGAUCAAAACAGCACACAGACACAAUAUAAGUGUCAUAGAACCACACGCCUGUGUGCUCUGGCCGUGUGGAAGGUCAAAAUUCUAUGUAGAAAGGCACACACAGCUGUGUAGCUGGGGCACAUGCUUGUGUAAAGAGAAGCACACACCCAUGUGAAGAGAGGCACACGCCCGUGUGAAGAGAGGCACACGCCCGUGUGAAGAGAAGCACAUGGCCGUGUGACUAAGGUACAUGCCCGUGUGGACCAAGGACAUGGCCAUGGGAACAGGUCGUGUAACUCUCUGUUCAUUUGCACUAAAUUUAAGUACAGGGCUGACACGACCGUGUGAGGGUCUCACACGUCCGUGUGCCCACCAGACAUGACUAUGUGUCCAAAACACAAGCCCGAAUGGGAUCCCUAAAUCCCUAAAUUAGACACAUGGCCAUGUGACACCAAAUCACCGAAACCCUAAUUCCCAAACACACAUGCCCGUGUGCCUAGAGGAUACAACCGUGUGAAAAUCACAAUUCGUACACAUUCUAAACAUAGGACAGCGAUACCAAGUCGAAAAUAACAGGUUUGCGAACACCCACACACACGUUGUCGACUUUCCGUGAAGUCGGAGCAAAAUUCACAAAUAAAACAAUAGAAGUUACGAACACAAACCUGAUUUACGAUCUACGACUUUUCGGCACCGUCUUGAUGACGAGAGAGAGGCUCUCCAAAAUCC